Molecule: ribosomal RNA, 440 nt
Filed under: uncultured bacterium
Lineage: Bacteria
Description: partial 16S ribosomal RNA
Rfam family: Bacterial small subunit ribosomal RNA
Source: RNAcentral
CCUACGGGAGGCAGCAGUGGGGAAUAUUGGACAAUGGGGGAAACCCUGAUCCAGCGACGCCGCGUGAGUGUAGAAGUAUUUCGGUACGUAAAGCUCUAUCAGCAGGAAAGAAAAUGACGGUACCUGACUAAGAAGCCCCGGCUAACUACGUGCCAGCAGCCGCGGUAAACCGUAGGGGGCAAGCGUUUUCCGGAUUUACUGGGUUUAAAGGGAGCAUAGACGGCAGCGCAAGUCUGGAGGGAAAUGCCGGGGCCCAACCCCUGAACUGCCCUGGAAACUGUGAAGCUGGAGUGCAGGAGAGGUAAGAGGAAUUCCUGGUGUAGCGGUGAAAUGCGUAGAUAUUAGGAGGAACACCGGUGGCGAAGGCGGCUUACUGGACCGUAACUGACGUUGAGGCUCGAAAGCGUGGGGAGCAAACAGGAUUAGAUACCCCUGUAGUC